Molecule: long non-coding RNA, 687 nt
Organism: Podarcis raffonei (Aeolian wall lizard)
Lineage: Eukaryota; Metazoa; Chordata; Lepidosauria; Squamata; Lacertidae
Exons: 3
Source: RefSeq, a predicted model, not a curated record
GAUAGAAUGAAAUAGUUCAGGAUCAGUGGGAGAGCGGCCACUUUCUGAAGCGUAACUUUGCAGGAGAAAUUAGGAGGUCGCGACGCAAAAAUUGGCACAGAUCUCCGAAUUCCUGAAAUGAGGAAUCCAGAACAUUUCACCGGAACGGUCUCUUGCGUUCAGAUAGAAUGAAAUUGUUCAGGAUCGGUGGGAGAGCGGCCACUUUCUGAAGGGUAACUUUGCAGGAGAAAUUAGGAGGUCGCGACGCAAAAAACGCCACAGAUCCCAUAAUCCCUGAAACGAGGACAAAUAUCUACACUGCAGAUUCUAAAGGGAAGGAAUGUUAUACCAAAAAUUUACCAAAGCUGCCAAGAGUGAGGACACAGACACUGCAAACUGUGAACAACAGAAAGGGAAAACGGAAAACUCCGCAGAACGACAGUAGAACAGAAGGCAGUUACUGUAGCACCAAGGAUUUCUGAAAAUAAAAAGCUUCCCAAUGGAUAAAAGCAAAGGAUUUUACUUUUAGCAAUCUUAAGCACUCACGUCUCACUACGUAUUACCAGAAAAAAAAGUUAAACCGUACAGCAGUCGUUUUCAAUGCUUUGGGCCUCUAUUUUAGUCAAGACACCUAUCCCAAGUAAGGUGAAGAUUAGAACAGGAUUUAAAAGUUACUUGAGCACCCUGGUUGUUGCUGGUCAUGUAGUA